GUGUCAGCCGCCGCGGUAAAACGUAGGACGCGAGCGUUAUCCGGAUUUACUGGGCGUAAAGCGCAUGCAGGCGGCCUUGUAAGUCGGAUGUGAAAUCUCCCGGCUCAACUGGGAGGCGUCAUUCGAUACUGCAAGGCUUGAGGGCAGGAGAGGGGAGUGGAAUUCCCGGUGUAGUGGUGAAGUGCGUAGAUAUCGGGAGGAACACCAGUGGCGAAGGCGGCUCCCUGGCCCGCACCUGACGCUCAGGCGCGAAAGCGUGGGGAGCAAACCGGAUUAGAUACCCGGGUAGUCCACGCCGUAAACGAUGAGUGCUAGGUGUGGGAGGUUUCGACCCCUUCCGUGCCGAAGCUAACGCGAUAAGCACUCCGCCUGGGGACUACGGCCGCAAGGCUAAAACUCAAAUGAAUUGGCGGGG
RNAcentral lists this ribosomal RNA (415 nucleotides) under uncultured prokaryote. RNAcentral's name for it is "bacterial SSU rRNA". It matches the Rfam family "Bacterial small subunit ribosomal RNA", at positions 505 to 918 of the family's 1533-position model. The record is from RNAcentral.